GACGAACGCUGGCGGCGUGCUUAACACAUGCAAGUCGAGCGGUAAGGCCCUUUCGGGGGUACACGAGCGGCGAACGGGUGAGUAACACGUGGGUGACCUGCCUUUAGCUCUGGGAUAAGCCUGGGAAACUGGGUCUAAUACCGGAUACGACUCCGCGGUGCAUGCUGUGGGGUGGAAAGCCUUGUGCGGCUGGAGAUGGGCCCGCGGCCUAUCAGCUUGUUGGUGGGGUGAUGGCCUACCAAGGCGACGACGGGUAGCCGGCCUGAGAGGGCGACCGGCCACACUGGGACUGAGACACGGCCCAGACUCCUACGGGAGGCAGCAGUAGGGAAUCUUGCGCAAUGGGCGAAAGCCUGACGCAGCGACGCCGCGUGAGGGAUGACGGCCUCGG
This 391-nucleotide ribosomal RNA is filed under the name uncultured bacterium. Its description in RNAcentral is "bacterial SSU rRNA". It matches the Rfam family "Bacterial small subunit ribosomal RNA", at positions 28 to 420 of the family's 1533-position model. The record is from RNAcentral.